This 428-nucleotide ribosomal RNA is filed under the name Pseudomonadota bacterium. RNAcentral describes it as "Proteobacteria bacterium partial 16S ribosomal RNA". It matches the Rfam family "Bacterial small subunit ribosomal RNA", at positions 355 to 776 of the family's 1533-position model. The record is from RNAcentral. Lineage: Bacteria; Pseudomonadati; Pseudomonadota.
UGGGGAAUAUUGGACAAUGGGCGAAAGCCUGAUCCAGCCAUGCCGCGUGUGUGAAGAAGGUCUUCGGAUUGUAAAGCACUUUAAGUUGGGAGGAAGGGCAGUAAGCGAAUACCUUGCUGUUUUGACGUUACCGACAGAAUAAGCACCGGCUAACUCUGUGCCAGCAGCCGCGGUAAUACAGAGGGUGCAAGCGUUAAUCGGAAUUACUGGGCGUAAAGCGCGCGUAGGUGGUUCGUUAAGUUGAAUGUGAAAGCCCCGGGCUCAACCUGGGAACUGCAUCCAAUACUGGCGAGCUAGAGUAGGGCAGAGGGUGGUGGAAUUUCCUGUGUAGCGGUGAAAUGCGUAGAUAUAGGAAAGAACACCAGUGGCGAAGGCGACCACCUGGGCUCAUACUGACACUGAGGUGCGAAAGCGUGGGAGCAAACAGG